CCGCUCCAGCAGUGCAUAUACUAAAAUUGGAACGAUGCAGAGAAGAUUAGUAUGGCCCCUGUGCUAGAAUAACAUGCAAAUUUGUGAAGCAUUCCAUAUUUUU
This 103-nucleotide small nuclear RNA is filed under the name Castor canadensis (American beaver). Lineage: Eukaryota; Metazoa; Chordata; Mammalia; Rodentia; Castoridae. The record is from RNAcentral.